Molecule: long non-coding RNA, 102 nt
Organism: Tarenaya hassleriana
Lineage: Eukaryota; Viridiplantae; Streptophyta; Magnoliopsida; Brassicales; Cleomaceae
Exons: 3
Source: RefSeq, a predicted model, not a curated record
GAAAUUUCUGUCAAAGGUGAAGAUUUCCGGCGGUGGUCGGUGCAAUGUGACCAAUGGGCAUUUCAAUGACAAUGGGAGAAUGGCAGAGAAUUACCCUCGAGG